Molecule: small nucleolar RNA, 135 nt
Organism: Propithecus coquereli (Coquerel's sifaka)
Lineage: Eukaryota; Metazoa; Chordata; Mammalia; Primates; Indriidae
Source: Ensembl
ACGCGCUGCCUUUGAGCCCCGUUGUGCCUCCGCGUGGCGCUGUAGGUCAGGCUGCAGCGCCAGAGCACUGGCUUGCGAAUAACUGGGGCCACCUGUCUCCUCCGCGGGUGGCCCUUUUAACAUCGAGCGACACAG